Molecule: transfer RNA, 83 nt
Filed under: Patulibacter sp.
Lineage: Bacteria; Bacillati; Actinomycetota; Thermoleophilia; Solirubrobacterales; Patulibacteraceae
Also listed under: 1 other name
Description: tRNA-Leu
Rfam family: tRNA
About the family: Transfer RNA (tRNA) molecules are approximately 80 nucleotides in length.
Source: RNAcentral
GCGGUGGUGGCGAAAUGGUAGACGCAGCGGACUCAAAAUCCGCCGGUGGUGACACCGUGGGGGUUCGAGUCCCCCCCGCCGUA